This 19-nucleotide microRNA is filed under the name Macaca mulatta (Rhesus monkey). Its description in RNAcentral is "mml-miR-7173-3p". Lineage: Eukaryota; Metazoa; Chordata; Mammalia; Primates; Cercopithecidae. The record is from miRBase by way of RNAcentral.
UGGAGAACACCACGGUUCA